UACAGAAGGUGCGAGCGUUAAUCGGAAUUACUGGACGUAAAGCGCGCGUAGGCGGCUUUGCAAGUCGGGUGUGAAAUCCCCAGGCUUAACCUGGGAACUGCAUUCGAGACUGCAUUGCUAGAGUAUGGGAGAGGGAAGUGGAAUUUCCGGUGUAGCGGUGAAAUGCGUAGAUAUCGGAAGGAACAUCAAUGACGAAAGCGACUUCCUAAACCAAUACUGACGCUCAUGUGCGAAAGCGUGGGGAGCAAACAGG
Molecule: ribosomal RNA, 253 nt
Filed under: uncultured bacterium
Lineage: Bacteria
Description: partial 16S ribosomal RNA
Rfam family: Bacterial small subunit ribosomal RNA
Source: RNAcentral